Molecule: transfer RNA, 73 nt
Filed under: Bacillota bacterium
Lineage: Bacteria; Bacillati; Bacillota
Also listed under: 3 other names
Description: Firmicutes bacterium (marine metagenome) tRNA-Ala
Rfam family: tRNA
About the family: Transfer RNA (tRNA) molecules are approximately 80 nucleotides in length. Their secondary structure includes four short double-helical elements and three loops (D, anti-codon, and T loops). Further hydrogen bonds mediate the characteristic L-shaped molecular structure. tRNAs have two regions of fundamental functional importance: the anti-codon, which is responsible for specific mRNA codon recognition, and the 3' end, to which the tRNAs corresponding amino acid is attached (by aminoacyl-tRNA synthetases). tRNAs cope with the degeneracy of the genetic code in two manners: having more than one tRNA (with a specific anti-codon) for a particular amino acid; and 'wobble' base-pairing, i.e. permitting non-standard base-pairing at the 3rd anti-codon position.
Source: RNAcentral
GGGGCUGUAGCUCAGCUGGGAGAGCGGUUGGUUCGCAAUCAACAGGCCAGGGGUUCGAGCCCCCUCAGCUCCA